Molecule: long non-coding RNA, 316 nt
Filed under: Elaeis guineensis (African oil palm)
Lineage: Eukaryota; Viridiplantae; Streptophyta; Magnoliopsida; Arecales; Arecaceae
Description: long non-coding RNA (EGUI_LNC013770)
Source: RNAcentral
UCAUAUUUAAGCCAACAGGAGCUACAACAUCAUCAUCAUCACACCAGCAGCUACUAGUAGCGGUCUCCAGUCUUCCUUCAACCCUCUGUCCUUCAAGGCAAGGUAUACCCUGCAAGUAAACGUAAGCAGAUUGUUUUGAAAGGAAUCUGAUGAAGAAAACCAGAGAUAGCAAAACCUUACAGUACUCAAACUCACCACCACAUUUGUAUCCCACAGGGCGAUCUGCCAGGUUGCACCGCAUGGGAAUUGUGAUUGCCACUUCAGGAUCGACUCCAGCACUCUUUGCAGUAUCCGACAGCAUAACAGCACAGAGGCA